AGCUGGGAUUUCGGUGGCCAAGAAGGACACUAAACUUCACUUCCCAUAAUUCCCUCAGGGCGAAGGCAGCUGGCUGUCGCGUGCGCUGAUGUUGCUUUCCAGUUUAGCAGAAGAAACUAAAAUAGGCCCCAAAACCUGAACGUCUCCAAACAACUCGGCUAGUUUAAACUGGUUCGGCACAGAACAGGUUUCACAUUUGUGUUGCAGUUCAAAUGCAGAAGGUUGAGAAAAAAAAAAAGCUUAAAUCCACCUGCGCUUACUUUGCUCAGUUUACGUCUUUUCUAGUGAACUGAAAAGUAAUUCCCUGCUGACUGGAAACAGUUCGCUGAACGGCAUGGGACCGCGGUCCGAGCGGUGACACGGCAAAGCUGAGGACGGCUUGUUUCACUUCAUAACAACAUCAACGGUACUGUCACCCCUCAACCCCGCCAUCAUCCCCCCUGCUGUGUGGCGGUGAGGGGCAACGCUGGGCUGACUCCGGAUCAGCCCGUGCUGGAGGAUGGAGAUAGAGAAGAGGACGAAUGGGUUCGACUACCCGGAGAGAAACAACGCCAAGUCGGUGAACGGUUUUUAUGGUGAUCAUCCCCUGGAGACAGAACCCAGCGACAGCAUGGAUGCAAUUAAUGAAAGUAACCUGGGUGAGUAAAAAUUCUUUUGUGUUUUUCUGAAGAGCUGCAAGAUG
This is a long non-coding RNA of Xiphophorus couchianus (Monterrey platyfish), 682 nucleotides long. RefSeq lists it as uncharacterized. Lineage: Eukaryota; Metazoa; Chordata; Actinopteri; Cyprinodontiformes; Poeciliidae. The transcript is spliced from 4 exons. The record is from RefSeq and is a predicted model, not a curated record.